This 442-nucleotide ribosomal RNA is filed under the name uncultured bacterium. Its description in RNAcentral is "partial 16S ribosomal RNA". It matches the Rfam family "Bacterial small subunit ribosomal RNA", at positions 338 to 795 of the family's 1533-position model. The record is from RNAcentral.
CCUACGGGUGGCAGCAGUGGGGAAUAUUGGGCAAUGGACGCAAGUCUGACCCAGCAACGCCGCGUGAAGGAAGGAGGCUUUCGGGUUGUAAACCUCUUUUAAGGGGGAAGAGCAGAAGGCGGUACCCCUUGAAUAAGCCACGGCUAACUAAGUGCCAGCAGCCGCGGUAAUACGGAGGUGGCGAGCGUUGUCCGGAUUUACUGGGUGUAAAGGGCGUGCAGCCGGAGAGACAAGACAGAUGUGAAAUCCACGGGCGCAACCCGGGAACUGCAUUUGAAACUGGUUCCCUUGAGUGUCGGAGAGGUAAGCGGAAUUCCUAGUGUAGCGGUGAAAUGCGUAGAUAUUAGGAAGAACACCAGUGGCGAAGGCGGAUUACUGGACGAUAACUGACGGUGAGGCGCGAAAGCGUGGGGAGCAAACAGGAUUAGAUACCCGUGUAGUC